GCUUGUCUCAAAGAUUAAGCCAUGCAUGUCUAAGUGUAAAUAAGUCUAUACUGUGAAACUGCGAAUGGCUCAUUAAAUCAGUUAUCGUUUAUUUGAUGAUCUCUUACUACUUGGAUAACCGUAGUAAUUCUAGAGCUAAUACAUGCACAAAAUCCCGACUUACGAAGGGAUGUAUUUAUUAGAUAAAAAACCAAUGCAGGCAACUGCUCUCUUGGUGAUUCAUAGUAACUUUUCGGAUCGCACGACUUCACGUUGGCGACAGUUCAUUCAAAUUUCUGCCCUAUCAGCUUUCGACGGUACUGUAGUGGACUACCGUGGCAUUAACGGGUGACGGAGAAUUAGGGUUCGAUUCCGGAGAGGGAGCCUGAGAAACGGCUACCACAUCCAAGGAAGGCAGCAGG
Molecule: ribosomal RNA, 401 nt
Filed under: uncultured Bodomorpha
Lineage: Eukaryota; Cercozoa; Glissomonadida
Description: partial small subunit ribosomal RNA
Rfam family: Eukaryotic small subunit ribosomal RNA
Source: RNAcentral